AUGGACAUGGAGGUCGCAUGGUUCCUCCUGCCCCUCCUCGCCCUCUUCAUCGCUCUCCUCGUCCGCUUGGUAGCGGUGCACCACGGCGCCUCUAAGCCCAAGAUCCCGCCGGGCCCGAUCGCCGUGCCGCUGCUCGGCAGCCUGCUGUUGCUGCGCAACUCCCUAGUCGACGCGGAGCACCUCCUCCGGCGCCUCGUCGCGCGGCACGGGCCCGUCGUCUCACUGCGCGUCGGCUCCCGCCUCUCCAUCUUCGUGGCGGACCGGCGAGUGGCCCAUGCUCUCCUUGUGGAGCGCGGCGCCGCGCUGGCCGACCGCCCGUACCUCGUCAUCAACAGCGGAUGCACCGUCUCGGGCGCCAGCUACGGGCCCGCCUGGCGCCUCCUGCGCCGCCACCUCGUCUCCGAGACGCUGCACCCGUCUCGUGCCCGCCUCUUCGCGCCCGCGCGCGCCUGGGCGCGCCGCGUGCUCCUGGACAAGCUCCGGGAGCGGGAGCCCGGCCCCGACGGCGGCGGGGUCUUGGUCAUGGACGCGUUCCGGCACGCCAUGUUCUUCCUCCUUGCGCUCAUGUGCUUCGGAGAGAAACUCGACGAGGCCGCCGUGCGGGCGGUCGGCGCCGCGCAGCGCGACUGGCUCAUGUUCGCCGCGCGGAAGACGAGCGUCUUUGCCUUCUUUCCGGCCAUCACCAAGCGUCUCUUCCGCGGGCGUCUCAAGACGGCCCUGGCCUUGCGGCGGCGGCAGAAGGAGAUCUUCCUGCCGCUGAUUGACGCGCGGAGGGAGCGCAAGAAGCAGCAGAUGCAGAUCAAGCCAGUGCCAACGGAGGAGGACACGACGCUGGAGCACUCGUACGUGGACACCCUGCUCGACAUCAAGCUGCCCGGCGAGGCGGAGUCCUCGCGUGCGCUCACCGACGACGAGAUGGUCAGCCUGUGCUCCGAGUUCCUCAACGCCGGCACGGACACGACGUCCACCGCGCUGGAGUGGAUCAUGGCGGAGCUGACCAAGAACCCGCGCGUCCAAGAAAAGCUCUACCACGAGAUCACCAAAGCGCAGCAGCAGAGAGGAGACGGAGACGAUGAGGAGGUCAGCGAGGAGGAGACGCACGGCAUGCCGUACCUGAAGGCCGUGGUCCUGGAGGGGCUGCGCAAGCACCCGCCGGGGCACUUCGUGCUGCCGCACAGGGCGGCGGAGGAUAUGGAGGUGGGCGGGUACCUGAUCCCCAAGGGCGCUUCGGUGAACUUCAUGGUGGCCGAGAUGGGCAGGGACGAGCGGGAGUGGGAGAGGCCGAUGGAGUUCGUGCCCGAGAGGUUCCUGCCGGGCGGCGACGGCGAGGGGGUGGACGUGACCGGCAGCAGGGAGAUCAGGAUGAUGCCGUUCGGCGUGGGGAGGAGGAUCUGCGCGGGGCUCGGCGUCGCCAUGCUUCACCUCGAGUACCUGGUGGCCAAGCUGGUCAAGGAAUUCGAGUGGCAGGAGGUUGCAGGCGACGAGGUGGACUUGACCGAGAAGCCGGAGUUCACCGUCGUCAUGGCCAAGCCGCUACGCGCGCGGCUGCUGCCCAGAACCAGAUAA
Molecule: ribosomal RNA, 1566 nt
Filed under: Triticum aestivum (bread wheat)
Lineage: Eukaryota; Viridiplantae; Streptophyta; Magnoliopsida; Poales; Poaceae
Description: partial small subunit ribosomal RNA
Source: RNAcentral